RNAcentral lists this ribosomal RNA (440 nucleotides) under uncultured bacterium. RNAcentral's name for it is "partial 16S ribosomal RNA". It matches the Rfam family "Bacterial small subunit ribosomal RNA", at positions 338 to 795 of the family's 1533-position model. The record is from RNAcentral.
CCUACGGGAGGCAGCAGUGGGGAAUAUUGCACAAUGGGGGAAACACUGAUGCAGCGACGCCGCGUGAGUGAAGAAGUAUCUCGGUACGUAAAGCUCUAUCAGCAGGGAAGAAAAUUACGGUACCUGACUAAGAAGCCACGGCUAACUACGUGCCGGCACCCGCGGUAAUACGUAGGGGGCAAGCGUUAUCCGGAUUUACUGGGUGUAAAGGGAGCGUAGACGGCAGCACAAGUCUGGAGUGAAAUCCCGGGGCUUAACCCCGGAACUGCUUUGGAAACUGUGCGGCUUGAGUGCAGGAGGGGUAAGCGGAAUUCCUGGUGUAGCGGUGAAAUGCGUAGAUAUUAGGAGGAACACCGGUGGCGAAGGCGGCUUACUGGACUGUAACUGACGUUGAGGCUCGAAAGCGUGGGGAGCAAACAGGAUUAGAUACCCUUGUAGUC